Molecule: ribosomal RNA, 476 nt
Filed under: uncultured bacterium
Lineage: Bacteria
Description: bacterial SSU rRNA
Rfam family: Bacterial small subunit ribosomal RNA
Source: RNAcentral
GAUGAACGCUAGCUACAGGCUUAACACAUGCAAGUCGAGGGGAAACGAUAUUGGAAGCUUGCUUCCGAUAGGCGUCGACCGGCGCACGGGUGAGUAACGCGUAUCCAACCUGCCCACCACUUGGGGAUAACCUUGCGAAAGUAAGACUAAUACCCAAUGACGUCUCUAGAAGACAUCUGAAAGAGAUUAAAGAUUUAUCGGUGAUGGAUGGGGAUGCGUCUGAUUAGCUUGUUGGCGGGGUAACGGCCCACCAAGGCAACGAUCAGUAGGGGUUCUGAGAGGAAGGUCCCCCACAUUGGAACUGAGAUACGGUCCAAACUCCUACGGGAGGCAGCAGUGAGGAAUAUUGGUCAAUGGGCGCAGGCCUGAACCAGCCAAGUCGCGUGAGGGAAGACGGUCCUACGGAUUGUAAACCUCUAUCAGCAGGGAAGAAAACAAUGACGGUACCUGACUAAGAAGCCCCGGNUAACUACGUG